AUUGAAUCAGCAGCUGAGUGCAGAACCUUUGGAUACUGCAUGGGUGGCAACAUUGGCUCAGGUAAUGUUUUUGGGAAGAACGGGUGCUCAUCAGGGCUUGUAUAUCUUCCAACCUUCGCAUGAAGCUUUUCAGUUUCUUUGACAAUAUACUCAACCAAAGAGCCAUGGAACCCGUCCAUCACAAAAACAUUAGGAUCAUAUGUCUCCGCAUUGAAACAGUACUGAGCUCUCUCCACAAGGCUGAAUAUUAUGCUAUCUUCUUGUCGAAUUAA
RNAcentral lists this unclassified non-coding RNA (272 nucleotides) under Hevea brasiliensis (rubber tree). Lineage: Eukaryota; Viridiplantae; Streptophyta; Magnoliopsida; Malpighiales; Euphorbiaceae. The record is from RNAcentral.